AAGGAAUAUUGGUCAAUGGACGCAAGUCUGAACCAGCCAUGCCGCGUGAAGGAUGAAGGUCCUCUGGAUUGUAAACUUCUUUUAUCUGGGACGAAAACGGGAUUUUUAUCUCAAUUGACGGUACCAGAGGAAUAAGCACCGGCUAACUCCGUGCCAGCAGCCGUGGUAAUACGGAGGGUGCGAGCGUUAUCCGGAUUUACUGGGUUUAAAGGGUGCGUAGGUGGGCUUAUAAGUCAGUGGUGAAAUCUCCGAGCUUAACUUGGAAACUGCCGUUGAUACUAUAGGUCUUGAAUUAUCUGGAGGUAAGCGGAAUAUGUCAUGUAGCGGUGAAAUGCUUAGAUAUGACAUAGAACACCAAUUGCGAAGGCAGCUUGCUACAUAUAAAUUGACGCUGAGGCACGAAAGCGUGGGGAUCAAACA
Molecule: ribosomal RNA, 420 nt
Filed under: uncultured bacterium
Lineage: Bacteria
Description: bacterial SSU rRNA
Rfam family: Bacterial small subunit ribosomal RNA
Source: RNAcentral